CUACAGUGGUUAUGGUGUCGGCUGGAGUGCUUGGAGCCCUCAGGAAGCGCUAGGAGCAUCCUUCAACGGAGGUACCCAGUCGGGGUACCAGGUGAUCCGUUACAUGCACAAACAGGAUUAUUUAAUAAACUGACAUUCAGAAUUAACUUGGAAUGUUUUUCUAACUUGGCUAUUUGAGCAUAAAUGUAGAAAUUCACUUUGAAUUCCAAGAAAUUCUCACUUGAAUAUUAAUAACCAUGAAAGAUUUAAUC
Molecule: non-coding RNA, 251 nt
Organism: Pelobates cultripes (western spadefoot toad)
Lineage: Eukaryota; Metazoa; Chordata; Amphibia; Anura; Pelobatidae
Source: the annotation of a GenBank genome assembly